AAAUUGAAGAGUUUGAUCAUGGCUCAGAUUGAACGCUGGCGGCAGGCCUAACACAUGCAAGUCGAACGGUAGCACAGAGAGCUUGCUCUCGGGUGACGAGUGGCGGACGGGUGAGUAAUGUCUGGGAAACUGCCCGAUGGAGGGGGAUAACUACUGGAAACGGUAGCUAAUACCGCAUAACGUCGCAAGACCAAAGUGGGGGACCUUCGGGCCUCACACCAUCGGAUGUGCCCAGAUGGGAUUAGCUAGUAGGUGGGGUAACGGCUCACCUAGGCGACGAUCCCUAGCUGGUCUGAGAGGAUGACCAGCCACACUGGAACUGAGACACGGUCCAGACUCCUACGGGAGGCAGCAGUGGGGAAUAUUGCACAAUGGGCGCAAGCCUGAUGCAGCCAUGCCGCGUGUAUGAAGAAGGCCUUCGGGUUGUAAAGUACUUUCAGCGAGGAGGAAGGCGUUGUGGUUAAUAACCACAGCGAUUGACGUUACUCGCAGAAGAAGCACCGGCUAACUCCGUGCCAGCAGCCGCGGUAAUACGGAGGGUGCAAGCGUUAAUCGGAAUUACUGGGCGUAAAGCGCACGCAGGCGGUUUGUUAAGUCAGAUGUGAAAUCCCCGGGCUCAACCUGGGAACUGCAUUUGAAACUGGCAAGCUUGAGUCUCGUAGAGGGGGGUAGAAUUCCAGGUGUAGCGGUGAAAUGCGUAGAGAUCUGGAGGAAUACCGGUGGCGAAGGCGGCCCCCUGGACAAAGACUGACGCUCAGGUGCGAAAGCGUGGGGAGCAAACAGGAUUAGAUACCCUGGUAGUCCACGCCGUAAACGAUGUCUACUUGGAGGUUGUGCCCUUGAGGCGUGGCUUCCGGAGCUAACGCGUUAAGUAGACCGCCUGGGGAGUACGGCCGCAAGGUUAAAACUCAAAUGAAUUGACGGGGGCCCGCACAAGCGGUGGAGCAUGUGGUUUAAUUCGAUGCAACGCGAAGAACCUUACCUGGUCUUGACAUCCACGGAAGUUUUCAGAGAUGAGAAUGUGCCUUCGGGAACCGUGAGACAGGUGCUGCAUGGCUGUCGUCAGCUCGUGUUGUGAAAUGUUGGGUUAAGUCCCGCAACGAGC
Molecule: ribosomal RNA, 1105 nt
Filed under: Salmonella enterica
Lineage: Bacteria; Pseudomonadati; Pseudomonadota; Gammaproteobacteria; Enterobacterales; Enterobacteriaceae
Also listed under: 1 other name
Description: bacterial SSU rRNA
Rfam family: Bacterial small subunit ribosomal RNA
Source: RNAcentral